GACAGAGGGUGCAAACGUUGUUCGGAAUUACUGGGCGUAAAGCGAGUGUAGGCGGUUUGGUAAGUCGGAUGUGAAAGCCCCGGGCUCAACCCGGGAAGUGCACUCGAUACUGCCAAGCUAGAGUAUCGGAGAGGUUGGUGGAAUUCUCGGUGGAGCGGUGAAAUGCGUAGAGAUCGGAAAGAACACCAACGGCGAAAGCACUCUGCUGGGCCGACACUGACACUGAGAGACGAAAGCUAGGGGAGCGAAUGGG
RNAcentral lists this ribosomal RNA (253 nucleotides) under uncultured bacterium. RNAcentral describes it as "partial 16S ribosomal RNA". It matches the Rfam family "Bacterial small subunit ribosomal RNA", at positions 524 to 776 of the family's 1533-position model. The record is from RNAcentral.